RNAcentral lists this ribosomal RNA (479 nucleotides) under uncultured bacterium. RNAcentral describes it as "partial 16S ribosomal RNA". It matches the Rfam family "Bacterial small subunit ribosomal RNA", at positions 28 to 507 of the family's 1533-position model. The record is from RNAcentral.
GAUGAACGCUGGCGGCGUGCUUAACACAUGCAAGUCGAGCGAGAAGUUUUGAAAAGAUUCUUCGGAUGAAAUUUAAAAUGGAAAGCGGCGGACGGGUGAGUAACGCGUAGGCAACCUGCCCCAUACAAAGGGAUAGCAUUUGGAAACGAAUAUUAAUACCUUAUGAAACUUAACUAGUGCAUGCUAGGUAGGUCAAAGAUUUAUCGGUAUGGGAUGGGCCUGCGUCUGAUUAGCUAGUUGGUGAGGUAACGGCUCACCAAGGCGACGAUCAGUAGCCGACCUGAGAGGGUGAACGGCCACAUUGGAACUGAGACACGGUCCAAACUCCUACGGGAGGCAGCAGUGGGGAAUAUUGCACAAUGGGGGAAACCCCGAUGCAGCAACGCCGCGUGAACGAUGAAGGCCUUUGGGUCGUAAAGUUCUGUUCUAGGUGAUGAAAACUGACAGUAACCUAGGAGAAAGCCCCGGCUAACUCCGUG